Molecule: ribosomal RNA, 301 nt
Filed under: uncultured bacterium
Lineage: Bacteria
Description: partial 16S ribosomal RNA
Rfam family: Bacterial small subunit ribosomal RNA
Source: RNAcentral
CAGUAGCCGCGGGAAUACGUAGGUGGCAAGCGUUGUCCGGAAUUAUUGGGCGUAAAGCGCGCGCAGGUGGUUUAAUAAGUCUGAUGUGAAAGCCCACGGCUCAACCUGGGAAUGGCAAUGGAAACUGGACGGCUAGAGUGUGUCAGAGGAUGGUGGAAUUCCCGGUGUAGCGGUGAAAUGCGUAGAGAUCUGGAGGAAUACCGGUGGCGAAGGCGGCCCCCUGGACAAAGACUGACGCUCAGGUGCGAAAGCGUGGGGAGCAAACAGGAUUAGAGACCCCUGUAGUCCCUGUCUCUUAUAC